RNAcentral lists this ribosomal RNA (163 nucleotides) under uncultured bacterium BG7. RNAcentral's name for it is "partial 16S ribosomal RNA". It matches the Rfam family "Bacterial small subunit ribosomal RNA", at positions 338 to 494 of the family's 1533-position model. The record is from RNAcentral.
CCUACGGGAGGCAGCAGUGGGGAAUUUUNGACAAUGGGCGAAAGCCUGAUCCAGCAAUGCCGCGUGUGUGAAGAAGGCCUUCGGGUUGUAAAGCACUUUUGUCCGGAAAGAAAUCAUUGACCUUAAUACGGUGGGGGAUGACGGUACCGGAAGAAUAAGCCCG